GGCGCUCUGGUGUAAAGGCAGCAUAUGGGAUUCUGAUUGAAAUUGAAUGCAAGUUCCCAUAACCAAGGUUCGAAUCCUGGUAGUACCU
RNAcentral lists this transfer RNA (88 nucleotides) under Armillaria solidipes. It matches the Rfam family "tRNA". From Rfam's summary of the family: Transfer RNA (tRNA) molecules are approximately 80 nucleotides in length. The record is from Rfam by way of RNAcentral. Lineage: Eukaryota; Fungi; Basidiomycota; Agaricomycetes; Agaricales; Physalacriaceae.